Molecule: long non-coding RNA, 822 nt
Filed under: Linum usitatissimum (flax)
Lineage: Eukaryota; Viridiplantae; Streptophyta; Magnoliopsida; Malpighiales; Linaceae
Description: long non-coding RNA (LUSI_LNC003123)
Source: RNAcentral
UCUGGAAACUUAUGCUUACUCGGAGCACAACAAUCGAUCACAAGCAAAUACCAUAAGAACCAGGAAUUCAAACUUUCUUAGCCAAGCCGCAAGAUAUUAAACCAAAACUGUAGCCAAAAUAUUGAAGGGCCAAUUCAUCAGAGUAAACCUGGAGCUUAAUCACAACAUAAGUGGCAAUUGGGUUAUUCGUCCCAAUCCUUCACUUGAAUGACAAUGUUUUGUAUGUCUUGAAUCUGGACCAAUAGGCAACCUGUAUAUGCAUAGAAAACGGUGGCAUAUCGUGUAUUAGCUUCUCCUCACUAGAUCUAUAGAUUGUGAAGUAGGGAUCAAACUUCAUAUAGUUGUACAGUCGAUUCCAUGACCAAGCUUCAUACCAACCAAAUUUGUAAACUGACUGAACUGGAAAGUGGAUUCAAAGGAGAGGAUGUAGGUGAAGAAAGAAGGCAAACAACUGUUCCAUCUCAUAAUCCUAAGCCACAAAUAAAGAAAUCAUAGAGAAAUAGAAUCUGACCAUGGGCGGAGCUUAUGAAUCCUGGAAAUCGAUCAGGGAAGAUAUGGGAUCGACAAUGACAGGGGUCUGUUCAGUUCCUCUUGCUAAUUCAAGAAAUCAAUUGUUCAUAUUUACCCAAAAAACACAGCAGCAAAAACAAAGCUCGUAGAGAUAAAUGGAAACCUAUGUAAGUUGUAAAGAUUAAAGGGAAGCAAGUUACCAGGAGCGCAAGUGGAUUUUGGGGUUUCAAAGUUGAAGUUUCAAUGCAAGAGGAACGGGCCCUUAGCAGGAAUGGUGGAGUGAACCUGAUCUUAUGAAUCUGCUCUUCGGCU